This 492-nucleotide ribosomal RNA is filed under the name uncultured bacterium. RNAcentral describes it as "partial 16S ribosomal RNA". It matches the Rfam family "Bacterial small subunit ribosomal RNA", at positions 29 to 507 of the family's 1533-position model. The record is from RNAcentral.
AGUGAACGCUGGCGGUAGGCCUAACACAUGCAAGUCGAACGGCAGCACAGUAAGAGCUUGCUCUUACGGGUGGCGAGUGGCGGACGGGUGAGGAAUACAUCGGAAUCUACUUUUUCGUGGGGGAUAACGUAGGGAAACUUACGCUAAUACCGCAUACGACCUACGGGUGAAAGCAGGGGAUCUUCGGACCUUGCGCGAUUGAAUGAGCCGAUGUCGGAUUAGCUAGUUGGCGGGGUAAAGGCCCACCAAGGCGACGAUCCGUAGCUGGUCUGAGAGGAUGAUCAGCCACACUGGAACUGAGACACGGUCCAGACUCCUACGGGGGGCAGCAGUGGGGAAUAUUGGACAAUGGGCGCAAGCCUGAUCCAGCCAUACCGCGUGGGUGAAGAAGGCCUUCGGGUUGUAAAGCCCUUUUGUUGGGAAAGAAAAGCAGCAGGUUAAUACCCCGCUGUUCUGGCGGUACCCAAAGAAUAAGCACCGGCUAACUUCGUG